GCAAGUGGUGAUCACUAAGCAGCCUUUAUAAGGGUUAUUCCUGGUGAGGCUUUGGCUAGAGAGGAAAGGAGAAGGCAAGUGGUGAUCACUAAGCAUCUAAAGGAGGACGUGCAGGGAUGAGACCCAUGGACCACAGUGUGCUGAAAUGUAUCUUCUCCCUAUUCUUGCUAACAGUAUCUGCAUCAGGCACGCUAUCCAACGCAGCAGUUACUACUAUCCAACCACUAUCAAAUACAGCCAGUGCAUCCCAACCAGCCAACACAGCCACUUCAUCCAGUGCAACCACACCAUCCUGUUUGACCCGUCGAUGUCUGGCCAGCAUGCUGAUUGCGAAAGAAGCUCGGAGUCCGCCACAGUCUCCACGGUGCAUCUCAAUUAUCCGUGUGCCGUCAAUCGUGUACGA
This is a long non-coding RNA of Oncorhynchus tshawytscha (Chinook salmon), 403 nucleotides long. Lineage: Eukaryota; Metazoa; Chordata; Actinopteri; Salmoniformes; Salmonidae. The record is from Ensembl.